This 646-nucleotide ribosomal RNA is filed under the name Drosophila pararubida. RNAcentral describes it as "partial 16S ribosomal RNA". The record is from RNAcentral. Lineage: Eukaryota; Metazoa; Arthropoda; Insecta; Diptera; Drosophilidae.
UUAGAUUUUAUUUAUUAAUUUUUUAAGUAAUUGUUUAAAAAUAUUAAAAAUAAUUAUAAUAUUUAUAGUUUUAGUAUUUUUUAAAGAAAAAAUAAAUUUAAUAAUAGUAAAAUAGUAUUGUAAAAGAAAAUUGAAAUAAUUUGAAAAAUUUUUAUUAAGAAAGAAAAUUUAAUUUAUUGUACCUUGUGUAUCAGUGUUUAUUAAAUAAAAAAUAUUUACAAAUAUUUUUCUCGAUUUUAAAAGAGUUAAUAUAAUAUUAAAGUUAUUGUGAUAAAAAUAUUUUAAAUAUUAUAUUAGAAAUGAAAUGUUAUUCGUUUUUAAAGGUAUCUAGUUUUUCAAGAAAUGAAUUUAAUUCAGAAAUUAUAAAUUUAUUUAAAAAAUUUUUUAAUUAAAUAUUUUAUAAUUUUAAUAUUUUAUGGGAUAAGCUAUAAAAUAAAUUUUUAAAAAUAAUAAAAAUAUUUAAAAAAUAUAUGCUUAGAAUUAGCAAUUGUUAAUAAGUAUGUUAUAAUUUAUUUUAUAAUAUAAAUUAUUUAUUAUAUUUUAAGUUUUUAUUGAAAUAUAAAUUUUAAUUUUUAAAAUUUAGUAAUAAUGAUAAAAUUAGUAUAUUAUUUUGUAAAAUAAAUGAAAAUGAAAAGUUGAAAUAAAG